UGGGGAAUAUUGCACAAUGGGCGCAAGCCUGAUGCAGCGACGCCGCGUGGGGGAUGACGGCCUUCGGGUUGUAAACUCCUUUCGCUAGGGACGAAGCUUUUUGUGACGGUACCUCGAUAAGUAGCACCGGCUAACUACGUGCCAGCAGCCGCGGUAAUACGUAGGGUGCGAGCGUUUUCCGGAAUUUCUGGGCGUAAAGGGGUCGUAGGUGGGUUGUCGCGUCGUCUGUGAAAUUCCGGGGCUUAACUCCGGGCGUGCAGGCGAUACGUGCAUAACUUGAGUACUGUAGGGGUAACUGGAAUUCCUGGUGGAGCGGUGAAAUGCGCAGAUAUCAGGAGGAACACCGAUGGCGAAGGCAGGUUACUGGGCAGUUACUGACGCUGAGGAGCGAAAGCAUGGGUAGCGAACAGG
Molecule: ribosomal RNA, 411 nt
Filed under: Actinomycetes bacterium
Lineage: Bacteria; Bacillati; Actinomycetota; Actinomycetes
Description: Actinobacteria bacterium partial 16S ribosomal RNA
Rfam family: Bacterial small subunit ribosomal RNA
Source: RNAcentral